AACGAACGCUGGCGGCAUGCCUAACACAUGCCAGUCGAACGAGACCUUCGGGUCUAGUGGCGCACGGGUGCGUAACGCGUUGGAACCUGCCCUUAGGUUCGGAAUAACUCCCCGAAAGGGGUGCUAAUACCGGAUCAUGUCUUCGGACCAAAGAUUUAUCGCCUCUGGAUGGGCCCGCGUUGGAUUAGCUAGUUGGUAGGGUAAAAGCCUACCAAGGCGACGAUACAUAGCUGGUCUGAGAGGAUGGUCAGCCACACUGGGACUGAGACACGGCCCAGACUCCUACGGGAGGGAGCAGUGGGGAAUAUUGGAAAGUGGGGGAAGGCAUGAUCGAGCAAUGACGGGUGAGUGAUGAAGGCCUUAGGGUUGUAAAGCUAUUUUACCCGGGAUGAUAAUGACAGUACCGGGAGAAUAAGCUCCGGCUAACUCCGUG
RNAcentral lists this ribosomal RNA (433 nucleotides) under uncultured bacterium. Its description in RNAcentral is "partial 16S ribosomal RNA". It matches the Rfam family "Bacterial small subunit ribosomal RNA", at positions 29 to 507 of the family's 1533-position model. The record is from RNAcentral.